AGAACGAACGCUGGCGGCAGGCCUAACACAUGCAAGUCGAACGCCGUAGCAAUACGGAGUGGCAGACGGGUGAGUAACGCGUGGGAACAUACCCUUUGGUUCGGAAUAGCUCAGGGAAACUUGGAUUAAUACCGGAUACGCCUUGUGAGCAAUCAUGAGGGAAAGAUUUAUCGCCGAAGGAUUGGCCCGCGUCUGAUUAGCUGGUUGGCGGGGUAACGGCCCACCAAGGCGACGAUCAGCAGCUGGUCUGAGAGGAUGAUCAGCCACAUUGGGACUGAGACACGGCCCAAACUCCUACGGGAGGCAGCAGUGGGGAAUAUUGGACAAUGGGCGCAAGCCUGAUCCAGCCAUGCCGCGUGAGUGAUGAAGGCCUUAGGGUUGUAAAGCUCUUUUACCUGGGAAGAUAAUGACGGUACCAGGAGAAUAAGCCCCGGCUAACUUCGUGCCAGCAGCCGCGGUAAUACGAAGGGGGCUAGCGUUGUUCGGAUUUACUGGGCGUAAAGCGCACGUAGGCGGAUCUUUAAGUCAGAGGUGAAAUGCCGGGGCUCAACCCCGGAACUGCCUUUGAUACUGGGGAUCUGGAGUCCGGGAGAGGUGAGCGGAACUGCGAGUGUAGAGGUGAAAUUCGUAGAUAUUCGCAAGAACACCAGUGGCGAAGGCGGCUCACUGGCCCGGUACUGACGCUGAGGUGCGAAAGCGUGGGGAGCAAACAGGAUUAGAUACCCUGGUAGUCCACGCCGUAAACGAUGGAUGCUAGCCGUUAGGCAGCUUGCUGCUUAGUGGCGCAGUCAACGCUUCAAGCAUCCCGCCUGGGGAGUACGGUCGCAAGAUUAAA
RNAcentral lists this ribosomal RNA (835 nucleotides) under uncultured bacterium. RNAcentral describes it as "bacterial SSU rRNA". It matches the Rfam family "Bacterial small subunit ribosomal RNA", at positions 26 to 898 of the family's 1533-position model. The record is from RNAcentral.